Molecule: ribosomal RNA, 230 nt
Filed under: uncultured bacterium
Lineage: Bacteria
Description: partial 16S ribosomal RNA
Rfam family: Bacterial small subunit ribosomal RNA
Source: RNAcentral
CAAUAUGUCAGCGGCAGACGGGUGAGUAACGCGUGGGAACGUACCUUUUGGUUCGGAACAACACAGGGAAACUUGUGCUAAUACCGGAUAAGCCUUACGGGAAAGAUUUAUCGCCGAAAGAUCGGCCCGCGUCUGAUUAGCUAGUUGGUGAGGUAAUGGCUCACCAAGGCGACGAUCAGUAGCUGGUCUGAGAGGAUGAUCAGCCACAUUGGGACUGAGACACGGCCCAA